GACGAACGCUGGCGGCGUGCUUAACACAUGCAAGUCGAACGGAAAGGCCCUGCUUUUGUGGGGUGCUCGAGUGGCGAACGGGUGAGUAACACGUGAGUAACCUGCCCUUGACUUUGGGAUAACUUCAGGAAACUGGGGCUAAUACUGGAUAGGAGCUCCUGCUGCAUGGUGGGGGUUGGAAAGUUUCGGCGGUUGGGGAUGGACUCGCGGCUUAUCAGCUUGUUGGGGGGGUAGUGGCUUACCAAGGCUUUGACGGGUAGCCGGCCUGAGAGGGUGACCGGCCACAUUGGGACUGAGAUACGGCCCAGACUCCUACGGGAGGCAGCAGUGGGGAAUAUUGCACAAUGGGCGGAAGCCUGAUGCAGCAACGCCGCGUGCGGGAUGACGGCCUUCGGGUUGUAAACCGCUUUCGCCUGUGACGAAGCGUGAGUGACGGUAAUGGGUAAAGAAGCACCGGCUAACUACGUG
RNAcentral lists this ribosomal RNA (468 nucleotides) under uncultured bacterium. RNAcentral describes it as "partial 16S ribosomal RNA". It matches the Rfam family "Bacterial small subunit ribosomal RNA", at positions 28 to 507 of the family's 1533-position model. The record is from RNAcentral.